RNAcentral lists this ribosomal RNA (254 nucleotides) under uncultured bacterium. Its description in RNAcentral is "partial 16S ribosomal RNA". It matches the Rfam family "Bacterial small subunit ribosomal RNA", at positions 524 to 776 of the family's 1533-position model. The record is from RNAcentral.
GACGGAGGAUGCAAGUGUUAUCCGGAAUCACUGGGCGUAAAGCGUCUGUAGGUGGUUCGAAAAGUCCACUGUUAAAAAUUGAGGCUUAACUUCAAAGAUGCCGUGGAAACUUUCAAACUAGAGUAUGGUAGGGGUAGAGGGAAUUUCCAGUGGAGCGGUGAAAUGCGUAGAUAUUGGAAAGACCACCGAUGGCGAAGGCACUCUACUGGGCCAUUACUGACACUGAGAGACGAAAGCUAGGGGGAGCAAAUGGG